Molecule: ribosomal RNA, 406 nt
Filed under: uncultured bacterium
Lineage: Bacteria
Description: partial 16S ribosomal RNA
Rfam family: Bacterial small subunit ribosomal RNA
Source: RNAcentral
AUUGAACGCUGGCGGCAGGCCUAACACAUGCAAGUCGAACGAGUGGCGGACGGGUGAGUAAUGUCUGGGAAACUGCCUGAUGGAGGGGGAUAACUACUGGAAACGGUAGCUAAUACCGCAUACCAUCAGAUGUGCCCAGAUGGGAUUAGCUUGUUGGUGGGGUAACGGCUCACCAAGGCGCCGAUCCCUAGCUGGUCUGAGAGGAUGACCCGCCAACCUGGUACUGGGCCACCGUCCCGAACCCUACGGGGGGCAGCAGGGGGGAAUUUUGCAACAAGGGGCGCAGGCCGAUGCAGCCCUGCCGCGGGUAAUGAGGAGGCCUUCGGGUUGGAAAAGUCUUUCAGGGGGGAGGCGUUACCCGCAGAAGAAGCACCGGCUAACUCCGUGCCAGCAGCCGCGGUAAUUC